UUGGGUUAGGUCAAUUUCUACAAUCUUGUUGGUAGGAUUACAAAUAGGUUGGGUCAAGUAAAGAUAUACUUGAUCUUGAUUCCACUUAAUUUCAUUUCUGGAUCUUGAUUUUGGACAUAGACCCCCUGAUCGAUAACCAGGUUGGGUGCGAUCAAACUCAUGAACAAGACCUUAGAUCUACUUUUAGAUCCCAAAUGGGUCUAUGAAAUCGAGUUAAGGCCAAGCAUGAUCCAAACCCAAUCCAAAAAAAAUGAGUUUGGGUUAGGAGCAGGCUAGGUCACGUAUGUAAUCCUAAUCAAGCAUUUGUCUCUCAUUUCUCACAACUAAAGUAUAAUAAUUGAUAAUCAAAUAUGAAAUUUCUAAAAAUCUUAAUGAAACUAAACAAAUGUCAGAUUAAACAUGAAUUUUCAUUCAAAUAUGUUCUUAAUUUGAUGAAAUAAAACUAUUAUUCC
RNAcentral lists this long non-coding RNA (452 nucleotides) under Elaeis guineensis (African oil palm). RNAcentral describes it as "long non-coding RNA (EGUI_LNC011011)". Lineage: Eukaryota; Viridiplantae; Streptophyta; Magnoliopsida; Arecales; Arecaceae. The record is from RNAcentral.